This 160-nucleotide non-coding RNA is filed under the name Alphaproteobacteria bacterium. RNAcentral's name for it is "6S RNA". It matches the Rfam family "6S / SsrS RNA". From Rfam's summary of the family: E. coli 6S RNA was the first non coding RNA to be sequenced, but its function was unknown until recently. It consists of 184 nucleotides that fold into an extended hairpin structure with a large single-stranded internal bulge. RNAcentral also lists the same sequence under 1 other name. Lineage: Bacteria; Pseudomonadati; Pseudomonadota; Alphaproteobacteria. The record is from RNAcentral.
AUGAGGCUGCCCCGCCGGUCAGGAGACCACAUACCCAGGGGCCUUAAACCACCCGAAGGGAGCUGUCCCUGCCCGGAUCGUGGUCCGGCGUAUAUGGCGCCCACCUGUAGAAACAGGCGCCCGGGGGUUUGUACACUCCAACCGCGGCGGCGGCUUCACU